UUUGUGUUAAACGUGCUUUCUGAUUUUGAUUGAAGUAGGCUCCAUAUGCUAACCUAAAUGCAUUCUUGUCGUGACUUUGCAUAUCUUAUAGUAGUUUUGAAUUCAGUUGAUAAUAAGUCUUAUUUAUAAAUUUAAUGUAUAACUCAAAAUAGAUGAAAUAAAAUCUUUGGUGUUUCAGCAAAAAUAGUUCUUUAGUUUGUUGGUCAACCCCUAUGGUGAAGG
Molecule: long non-coding RNA, 222 nt
Filed under: Carica papaya (papaya)
Lineage: Eukaryota; Viridiplantae; Streptophyta; Magnoliopsida; Brassicales; Caricaceae
Description: long non-coding RNA (CPAP_LNC007405)
Source: RNAcentral